This 734-nucleotide ribosomal RNA is filed under the name uncultured Corynebacterium sp. Its description in RNAcentral is "bacterial SSU rRNA". It matches the Rfam family "Bacterial small subunit ribosomal RNA", at positions 28 to 776 of the family's 1533-position model. Lineage: Bacteria; Bacillati; Actinomycetota; Actinomycetes; Mycobacteriales; Corynebacteriaceae. The record is from RNAcentral.
GACGAACGCGGCGGCGUGCUUAACACAUGCAAGUCGAACGGUAAGGCUCCAGCUUGCUGGGGUACACGAGUGGCGAACGGGUGAGUAACACGUGGGUGACCUGCCCUGCACUUCGGGAUAAGCCUGGGAAACUGGGUCUAAUACCGGAUAGGACCGCACCGUGAGGGUGUGGUGGAAAGUUUUUUCGGUGUGGGAUGGGCCCGCGGCCUAUCAGCUUGUUGGUGGGGUAAUGGCCUACCAAGGCGGCGACGGGUAGCCGGCCUGAGAGGGUGGACGGCCACAUUGGGACUGAGACACGGCCCAGACUCCUACGGGAGGCAGCAGUGGGGAAUAUUGCACAAUGGGCGGAAGCCUGAUGCAGCGACGCCGCGUGGGGGAUGACGGCCUUCGGGUUGUAAACUCCUUUCACCAUCGACGAAGGGUUUCUGACGGUAGAUGGAGAAGAAGCACCGGCUAACUACGUGCCAGCAGCCGCGGUAAUACGUAGGGUGCGAGCGUUGUCCGGAAUUACUGGGCGUAAAGAGCUCGUAGGUGGUUUGUCGCGUCGUCUGUGAAAUUCCGGGGCUUAACUCCGGGCGUGCAGGCGAUACGGGCAUAACUUGAGUACUGUAGGGGAGACUGGAAUUCCUGGUGUAGCGGUGAAAUGCGCAGAUAUCAGGAGGAACACCGGUGGCGAAGGCGGGUCUCUGGGCAGUAACUGACGCUGAGGAGCGAAAGCAUGGGGAGCGAACAGG